UCACUAGAUCUAAUCAAUUAAGUUCAGGUUUUAGGAUGACUCAAAUGGUGCCAAACUAUGCAGUUCAAUGCAUCCAUUAGUGAGAAUUUGAGGCCAUUAAAAUUUUACUCAAAACUUUUUUUGUUGACUAAGUUUUUAUUUGUACUUUUUUAGGUAACAUGUAUAAUUUCCUUAAUUUAGGGGAGGAAGUCAGUAUGUGAUAUAAAUAUAUGUAGUGGUCAUUAAAAUCUCCAAAUACUAAUUUUCAGUUUUAACAAAUUCUUUGCCUUCAAAGUUCAGUUUUUUAAAUCCUAAAUAUGCCCUUGCUUUAGCUGUUACAUGUAUAGGCAAAAUGAAAAAACAUGUUUUAACUAAUAUAGUCAAUUGUUCCUACUAACUAACAUGUAAACAUAGUCAUCUUAUAAUAAGCUGCCAUCAAUAAAAAAACUUUGGGUUGACAUUGUCUACUAUAUUUUUAAAUGUGUUUUUAUUGUACAUAUUUAAGAAGUACAUGAUGUUUUAAUGCAUAUAUGUAGUGAAAUAAUUACUGCAAACACUUUUACAUACCCUACUCUAUUUUUUGAGUAGUUCUCAGGUCUCAUAUAUAUUUGUGUUAAAUGAAAGGAGAAAAUAAAAGUGAUCUCUGUGUGAACUCAUAAAAAUAUAAAACACUUCACUAUUCUCCCAUAGUCAAAGUCCCUUUGUGAUUUUCUCUGAAGGCUUGACUCACAUCACCUGAUAUACAAGGGCAUUUAUAUUUCUAGUCAUAUUUCUUGGCACUUUCAGAAGUUAUAGUAAAUGUUUCUCCUGUUUAUUCCAGAAAAAACACCAUUCAUAU
RNAcentral lists this long non-coding RNA (817 nucleotides) under Pan troglodytes (chimpanzee). RNAcentral describes it as "long non-coding RNA NONPTRT015186". Lineage: Eukaryota; Metazoa; Chordata; Mammalia; Primates; Hominidae. The record is from RNAcentral.